AGUCAGAGAAAGAACUGCAGCACGCUAGAAGAAGUCGGGGAUGAAACUUGGUGGACUUCAGAGGUCCAUCUACUGGCCUUUCAGUCUUGACCUGCAAUUGUCUAUCUUCUCCUGAACCUGGAGGAAAUGAGCUGAUUGAAAAUUUUGUUUCUCUCAUCCUGAAAACAGUCAGCAUCUUCAAGGAGGAAAGACUAGACACUGACAAUUCACUGCUGGGUGAACUGCGAGCGGAACACCUCUUCAAGAUGCUUUGUGGUGGAAACCAAGACAAAGGCGGUGAAGAAGGAGGGCUACCCUUUGGCAUCACUUAUUGUUGGAAUAAAGGAAAAAAGCACCCGGAUUUCUGGAGAAACGACUUUCUAAAUGGACAGGUUCUUAUGAUGCUGACAGCUCACAAGCCCCGUGGUUGUCCUCCUGUCAUCAUGAAUUCUUGGCAAGAAAAACUGAAAACGUUGGGAAUAGAGGUGACAGAAGACCAGUGGGAAACUUUGAUACAACGAGCUGUGCUGGAGCCAGAAAUGAGAACGUAUCUAUUGUACAACUCCAGAGGAAUAAGGAUGGGCAUUGCUGCAGUAAGAACCCUAUACAACU
Molecule: non-coding RNA, 591 nt
Organism: Notechis scutatus (mainland tiger snake)
Lineage: Eukaryota; Metazoa; Chordata; Lepidosauria; Squamata; Elapidae
Source: RefSeq, a predicted model, not a curated record